This 686-nucleotide ribosomal RNA is filed under the name Escherichia coli. RNAcentral's name for it is "partial 23S ribosomal RNA". It matches the Rfam family "Bacterial large subunit ribosomal RNA", at positions 2116 to 2801 of the family's 2925-position model. Lineage: Bacteria; Pseudomonadati; Pseudomonadota; Gammaproteobacteria; Enterobacterales; Enterobacteriaceae. The record is from RNAcentral.
ACUGAACAUUGAGCCUUGAUGUGUAGGAUAGGUGGGAGGCUUUGAAGUGUGGACGCCAGUCUGCAUGGAGCCGACCUUGAAAUACCACCCUUUAAUGUUUGAUGUUCUAACGUUGGCCCCUAAUCGGGGUUGCGGACAGUGUCUGGUGGGUAGUUUGACUGGGGCGGUCUCCUCCUAAAGAGUAACGGAGGAGCACGAAGGUUGGCUAAUCCUGGUCGGACAUCAGGAGGUUAGUGCAAUGGCAUAAGCCAGCUUGACUGCGAGCGUGACGGCGCGAGCAGGUGCGAAAGCAGGUCAUAGUGAUCCGGUGGUUCUGAAUGGAAGGGCCAUCGCUCAACGGAUAAAAGGUACUCCGGGGAUAACAGGCUGAUACCGCCCAAGAGUUCAUAUCGACGGCGGUGUUUGGCACCUCGAUGUCGGCUCAUCACAUCCUGGGGCUGAAGUAGGUCCCAAGGGUAUGGCUGUUCGCCAUUUAAAGUGGUACGCGAGCUGGGUUUAGAACGUCGUGAGACAGUUCGGUCCCUAUCUGCCGUGGGCGCUGGAGAACUGAGGGGGGCUGCUCCUAGUACGAGAGGACCGGAGUGGACGCAUCACUGGUGUUCGGGUUGUCAUGCCAAUGGCACUGCCCGGUAGCUAAAUGCGGAAGAGAUAAGUGCUGAAAGCAUCUAAGCACGAAACUUGCCCCG